RNAcentral lists this ribosomal RNA (325 nucleotides) under uncultured eukaryote. RNAcentral's name for it is "partial 18S ribosomal RNA". It matches the Rfam family "Eukaryotic small subunit ribosomal RNA", at positions 1470 to 1796 of the family's 1831-position model. The record is from RNAcentral.
CCCUUAGAUGCCCUGGGCCGCACGCGCGCUACACUGAUGCAUUCAACGAGCCUAUCCUUGACCGACAGGUCCGGGUAAUCUUUGAAUCUGCAUCGUGACGGGGAUAGAUUAUUGCAAUUAUUAAUCUUCAACGAGGAAUGCCUAGUAGGCGCAAGUCAUCAGCUUGCGUCGAUUACGUCCCUGCCCUUUGUACACACCGCCCGUCGCUCCUACCGAUUGGGUGUGCUGGUGAAAUGUUCGGAUCGGCCGUUUGUCGCGGUUUCCGCGUCAUGUGGCUGAGAAGUUCAUUAAACCCUCCCACCUAGAGGAAGGAGAAGUCGUAACA